CAAGCGUGACUCAAAAUCACGUGACGGGCGCAUUUGAAGCAAGCCUCGAAGCGGCGCUUCGAAAGCUCGACACAGUGUCGAAACCUGAGUAUCGAGCGGCCCAUCACUAGUUUGAAGUAAGUUAAUGUUUAUUGUGGUAUGUACUGCGCAAUAUGAAAGCAAAAGGUAUCGCAAUGAAAACUAAUGGAUGCAUCACGUACUGAAUGCUUUCCGAACCAAAGGAUUAAAACGGGAGGUGAAUAAGAAGAGAUGCAAUUGUUUGGAAAUCCUACCAUCAACACCGGUCCCUAUUCAAAAAUGGAAAAUGUGGGGAAUGUUAAAUUUAGGUCUCCUGUAUUAAAGGAUGUUUGUAAAGAAAUAACUUUUGACUUGAAAAAUCAAACAUGGUAUGUAUGCAUUUGACAGGUGAAAAUGUGUCCUAAAAUGAAGCACUUUUUAUAAAAAGGCCAGCCCUGCUCAACUAUCAGUCAUCCUGCACAACAGUCUUUCAACCAGCCCCCCUCCCUUUCUCAGAAGACCAAAUCACAAAUUUUUUUCAUGCCACAUGUUUCGGUUUGGUUUUGAUUUACUUCCACAUUUAUGUGAGAACUUGCACAAGCAAAUAUUAGAACAUUAGAACACUCUAGACGAGAACAGGCCAUUCAGCCCAACAAAGCUUGCCAGUCCUAUCUACUUGCUUCUUCCAAAAAAAAUCAAGUCAAGUUUUGAAAGACCCUGAAGUCUUAGUGUCUACUUGGCAGCUUAUUCCAAAUGUCUAUGGUUCUUUGUCUAAAGAAAAACUUCCUAAUAAUUAUGCGAAAUGUACCCUUAAAUUUCCAACUGUGUUCCCGUGUUCUUGAUGAACUCAUUUUAAAAUAGCAGUCUCAAUCAACUGGACUAAUUCCCUUCAUAAUUUUAAACACUUCAGUCAUGUCACCUCUUAAUAUUCUUUUGCUAAAACUGAACACAUCCUUACCAAGAGAAAAAUAGUACCAGGAAUAUGCAGUAAAAUUUCCAGCUUCCCUCUUUUUUGUUGUCACAGACAUGCCCUGAAAACGGAUUGUGUGGAUCAAAACUCAUUGUCUGUCAUUUCUUGAAAAACUGACAUUUUUUGUUUGCUUUUCUUCUGUGGCACAUAAAUCAAUUGUAAAGCACCAGUGCAGGCAAGAAAGAUUUAAAAAUUUAUGGAAAGUGCUUAACUUUUGAAUAGUUUUGUGUGGGAAAUGCAUAUACAGGGUAUACCAUGAUAGUUUUGUUCAGGUUUGUAAAAGCAUUAAACAUAAUAUAUAGCAAAUUAGAGAUCUGUUUAGAUAACGUGACCCCCUGUUAUAUGCUGAUGCUUUUGUUACUUAAUGUGCUAGAAUACAAAUACAGCACCAUCAAAUUAAAAAAAAAAAAACAUCAGUGUCAAAAUACUUUUUCAAGAUCGUUCUGUAGUUAUAUGGUAGUUUCACAUUAUCACAUAUAAGCUAUUGUCAGUGUUGCAACAGUGUAGCCACCAAUGCAUGUAAUGUUUACUUUUAAAUGCCAUUGGAUAUUUCUAAUUGUUAAGAAUUGGCUAUGCACUGGCAUCUGGUUCACAGGGUUGCCAUAACCGCAUCAUGGGCCCCUGGGUAAAGUGUUGUGCUGGGACCCCUGUUUUGAUAGCAAAACAGAAACAUACAUAAGCAUCAGAAAUAUUGUUGGCCCCUGUGCCUCCUGGGGUCCUCAGCCAGUGCCCAUACAUUAAGACUGCAUUGCUGUUCAGACAUACACAUCAGUGGCAUUCUGAAGUUCAUCCUGCUAUCUGUAUUCACACAGACCUGGUGCUUCUCCAUAAAGCCACAGAUGGCCAGUGCAGCUCUUGGUCCUUAAAUAGCUUAUCUCAGUUCUUGAGGAAAAUAGGCUUUUCUAUGCAAUUUCCUCAUCAAUAUAGUGAACCAUUAUGUUCAAAUAUUCUUCUAUGGUUAUAGUCAACCACAUAUCAGCUGUGGUUACAUAAAGUGGCACAUCUUUCAGAUCCUUUUAAAUUGCUUAACAUUUGGAAUAAAGUAAACACAGUGCAACUUCAGAAGAGGGGUGACGUACCCCUUAACCUGAGUGAUGGAUCCUUUUUUUUUUUUUCUUUCUUUUUAAAAGACCAUUGUGUACAGUUUCAAUGGGAGUCUUUGGAUAAAUAGAAUGUAGUGACUCUUUUAUCUGAUUUUUACUUUCAAUAGUGCUGUAUACAGACAUGCCUUAUAGUGUAAACAGAUAAUGGUUAUACACAGGUAUACACUGGAAAAAGCUUUAAUUAGUUUGUCAUUUUUAUCCAUUUUUGUGCAAUGAAUUAAAAAAAUAAAACUUUUUCUGCAUCAUGUAAUGUUGUUCACAAAAAAUGUAUUAGCUGUCAAUUAUCACUUUUUUGUCUUUGCACUAACAAUAAAUGUUGAUUUUAUUGUAAUAGUAAUGUUUGCCUUUAUGCUUUGAAAUAUUGUCUAUUUAAAACAAAUUGAUUUGUUUUAUUUGGUAAGGUUAGAAUAUAGCUGUAACUGAAGCUGGUGAUGAGUCACAGUAGCAGGUUAUUAGCAUGUGAUGCCAUUAGAAACAUGUCUGGUUCUUUUCUUUCCCUCACCAACGAUACACAUCACAGUAUCAUGGUAAUAAACACGCACUUAGUUUGACUCGGGCAGUUGAUCAGUGCACACUUAAAUAUGACAUUGGGUUCAUAAAAAAUGGCCAAUUAAGGAGGAAAAAAAAAGCUACAGCUUGGUGCUAAAAACAUCAGACCUCUGGGUAGCUCCAGAUAAAGUACUGCUACCACAUAUCAGGUUUGGUUUAAUGAAGCAGUUUGUCAAAACCCUAUGUAACAAUCCAGUCUGAUUUAUUCAUUUGUGCUGAAAAUAUAUGGGUUUGCCUGAGCUUAAAUUGAAAGUGGGCAUUUUUGACAGACCUGACAUCAGAACACGGAUUGACGUUGCAGAAUUUGAUGUGGCAAUGAACAUCCUGGAACGAGAAGCUUGGAUGUUAUUUAAAGAAGUAAUUUCUAUGUUUUUAGAUAAUGAUAAAUAUCUGAAUGAUAGAGAAAUUGUGAAAAAUUAAAUAGUUGAUUAGUUAAAUUUAAGGGUUUGGGUUUCAGAAUGAGUCUCAAAGUUCAGAUUUUGGCUUUGCAUUUGGAAUUUUUCCUGAAAUUCUUGGAUCAGUGAGUGAAGAGCAGGGUGAAAGAUUGUCAGGAAAUCAAGGACACGGAAAGGAGGCACUAGGGAUGUUGGGAUUAUCGGUAUGAUAACAGACUUCA
Long non-coding RNA from Erpetoichthys calabaricus (reedfish), 3235 nucleotides. RefSeq lists it as uncharacterized. The record is from RefSeq and is a predicted model, not a curated record. NCBI's taxonomy places the organism in Eukaryota, Metazoa, Chordata, Cladistia, Polypteriformes, Polypteridae. The transcript has 2 exons.